UACGUAGGGUGCGAGCGUUGUCCGGAAUUACUGGGCGUAAAGAGCUCGUAGGUGGUUUGUCGCGUUGUUCGUGAAAUCUCACGGCUUAACUGUGAGCGUGCGGGCGAUACGGGCAGACUAGAGUACUGCAGGGGAGACCGGAAUUCCUGGUGUAGCGGUGGAAUGCGCAGAUAUCAGGAGGAACACCGGUGGCGAAGGCGGGUCUCUGGGCAGUAACUGACGCUGAGGAGCGAAAGCGUGGGGAGCGAACAGGAUUAGAUACCCUGGUAGUCCACGCCGUAAACGGUGGGUACUAGGUGUGGGUUUCCUUCCUUGGGAUCCGUGCCGUAGCUAACGCAUUAAGUACCCCGCCUGGGGAGUACGGCCGCAAGGCUAAAACUC
This 381-nucleotide ribosomal RNA is filed under the name uncultured Mycobacterium sp. RNAcentral's name for it is "bacterial SSU rRNA". It matches the Rfam family "Bacterial small subunit ribosomal RNA", at positions 524 to 902 of the family's 1533-position model. Lineage: Bacteria; Bacillati; Actinomycetota; Actinomycetes; Mycobacteriales; Mycobacteriaceae. The record is from RNAcentral.